Long non-coding RNA from Salvia miltiorrhiza (redroot sage), 739 nucleotides. RefSeq lists it as uncharacterized. NCBI's taxonomy places the organism in Eukaryota, Viridiplantae, Streptophyta, Magnoliopsida, Lamiales, Lamiaceae. The transcript has 2 exons. The record is from RefSeq and is a predicted model, not a curated record.
CCAAGUUUACUGUUUAAACCCAUGUUUAAACCCAUCAGAGAUUUAAUAGGCCCAAACAUUAUUAAGUCUAAUCAUAAUUAACCAUUUUAUAAGAAAUUAAAUAGAGUUAAAAUCUAGAGUCUUCUAAAUGAAAUCAGAUCUCUCUUCCUCUGCUCAGUGCUCACACGCGUUCUCUCUCUCUUUCUCAGUUCUCUCAGCUGCGUCUCUCACUCUCCCUCUCCUUUUCACCCGGCGACGCCGCCGGUCCUCGCCGCCUCCGGCGCGGCGAGGCCGGCUCCUCUCCUUCCUCCCCCUCUUCUUCCUCUUUCUUUCCUAAUUUCUCUCAAAUCUCUAAAAUUCCUAACUUAUAUAUAUAUAGGGUUUCUGUCUCUCUUUUCCUCUCUGAGAUUCGUCCCUCCGGUAAUCCCUGCCGCACCGCCGCCGUCUCCGACGCACCACCGGCCUCUGCAUCCCAGAUUAUUGGGGACGAUUGGUGAACUGGACCGAAUUGCAGGGUGAAGAAAAAUGGCUGAUCGUGAGAAGGAAAAUACUUAUACUAUCUCUAAGUCGGAUGAGUGCAGAGCCACGUGUUGCUUGAGCAGCUAAUCUACUUUAAUAAUCCAAUUUGCACAGUUGCACUAAUAAGAGUAGGUUAAUCUACUGAUUUAAAAGAGUUCAACUUGGGCCUCUUCUCAUAUAUCUGCAUAAUCUUUGGCCCAAAUAACCACUGUUGGGCUUUUCUAUUUUUUAUAAAACUCUU